AGCGAACGCUGGCGGCAGGCUUAACACAUGCAAGUCGAACGCCCCGCAAGGGGAGUGGCAGACGGGUGAGUAACACGUGGGAACGUACCCUUUGGUUCGGAAUAACUUGGGGAAACUCAAGCUAAUACCGGAUAAGCCCUUAUGGGGAAAGGUUUACUGCCGAAGGAUCGGCCCGCGUCUGAUUAGCUAGUUGGUGAGGUAAUGGCUCACCAAGGCGACGAUCAGUAGCUGGUCUGAGAGGAUGAUCAGCCACACUGGGACCGAGACACGGCCCAGACUCAGACGAGGGGCAGCAGUGGGGAAUAUUGGUCAAUGGGGGCAACCAUGAUCCAGCCAUGCCGCGUGAGUGAUGAAGGCCUUAGGGUUGUAACGCUCUUUUACCCGGGACGAUAAUGACUGUACCGGGAGAAUAAGCCCCGGCUAACUUCGUGCCAGCCGCCGCGGUAA
RNAcentral lists this ribosomal RNA (447 nucleotides) under uncultured bacterium. Its description in RNAcentral is "partial 16S ribosomal RNA". It matches the Rfam family "Bacterial small subunit ribosomal RNA", at positions 29 to 523 of the family's 1533-position model. The record is from RNAcentral.